This 484-nucleotide ribosomal RNA is filed under the name uncultured bacterium. RNAcentral describes it as "bacterial SSU rRNA". It matches the Rfam family "Bacterial small subunit ribosomal RNA", at positions 30 to 507 of the family's 1533-position model. The record is from RNAcentral.
AUUGAACGCUGGCGGAAUGCCUUACACAUGCAAGUCGAACGGCAGCACGGGAGCAAUCCUGGUGGCGAGUGGCGAACGGGUGAGUAAUACAUCGGAACGUGCCCAAUCGUGGGGGAUAACGUAGCGAAAGCUACGCUAAUACCGCAUACGAUCUACGGAUGAAAGCGGGGGAUCGCAAGACCUCGCGCGAAUGGAGCGGCCGAUGGCAGAUUAGGUAGUUGGUGGGGUAAAGGCUCACCAAGCCUUCGAUCUGUAGCUGGUCUGAGAGGACGACCAGCCACACUGGGACUGAGACACGGCCCAGACUCCUACGGGAGGCAGCAGUGGGGAAUUUUGGACAAUGGGCGCAAGCCUGAUCCAGCCAUUCCGCGUGCAGGAUGAAGGCCUUCGGGUUGUAAACUGCUUUUGGACGGAACGAAAAGCCAUUUCCUAAUACGGGGUGGUCAUGACGGUACCGUCAGAAUAAGCACCGGCUAACUACGUG